This 465-nucleotide ribosomal RNA is filed under the name uncultured bacterium. RNAcentral's name for it is "partial 16S ribosomal RNA". It matches the Rfam family "Bacterial small subunit ribosomal RNA", at positions 28 to 507 of the family's 1533-position model. The record is from RNAcentral.
GACGAACGCUGGCGGCGUGCUUAACACAUGCAAGUCGUACGGUAAGGCCCUUUCGGGGGUACACGAGUGGCGAACGGGUGAGUAACACGUGAGUAACCUGCCCACAACUUUGGGAUAACGCUAGGAAACUGGUGCUAAUACUGGAUAUGUGCUCCUGCUGCAUGGUGGGGGUUGGAAAGCUCCGGCGGUUGUGGAUGGACUCGCGGCCUAUCAGCUUGUUGGUGGGGUAGUGGCCUACCAAGGCGGCGACGGGUAGCCGGCCUGAGAGGGUGACCGGCCACAUUGGGACUGAGAUAAGGCCCAGACUCCUACGGGAGGCAGCAGUGGGGAAUAUUGCACAAUGGGCGCAAGCCUGAUGCAGCAACGCCGCGUGCGGGAUGACGGCCUUCGGGUUGUAAACCGCUUUCAGCAGGGACGAAGCUUUUUGUGACGGUACCUGAAGAAGAAGCACCGGCUAACUACGUG